UACGGAGGGGGCUAGCGUUGUUCGGAAUUACUGGGCGUAAAGGGCUCGUAGGUGGCCAACUAAGUCAGACGUGAAAUCCCUCAGCUUAACUGGGGAACUGCGUCUGAUACUGGAUGGCUUGGAUUCGGGAGAGGAAUGCGGAAUUCCAGGUGUAGCGGUGAAAUGCGUAGAUAUCUGGAGGAACACCGGUGGCGAAGGCGGCAUUCUGGACCGACAUUGACGCUGAGGAGCGAAAGCCAGGGGAGCAAACGGG
This 253-nucleotide ribosomal RNA is filed under the name uncultured bacterium. RNAcentral describes it as "partial 16S ribosomal RNA". It matches the Rfam family "Bacterial small subunit ribosomal RNA", at positions 524 to 776 of the family's 1533-position model. The record is from RNAcentral.